CUACCCUUCUGCCUCAUCCUCCCAAGUGCUGGGAUUUAUACAGGAUUGGACAGCUGAAUUUAAAGUCGAGUUGAAGCCCAAUAUUUGGAACUGUGUUUAAUUGAAGAGGAGACAGAAGACGUCAUGUUUAAAAUUUGCAAGUUUUAUUAUACAGUCAAAUGAAAGAUUCAGCACUUGUCCCAAAGGAGUAACCAAGAUGGUAUUCUUAAAAAUUCCUGGCAUCUAUGAAAUUAUCUAAUUACAGAAUUUUCUUUCAUUAUAUGAACUACUCUUGAUUUCAUCAUGAAAAAUCUGAAUUGAAACAGUUUGUUGAAAUACUGAAACUGAAUUUUCAAUUAAGUGGGAAUAUUUGUAUGCUAAUAUGAUGCAAUGUUGUUGUUUCACAUUUUUUCCAUGUUAAAGAUUGUUCUGAACUCUAAAUCUUUUGAAUAAAUGAUACUGAAACCCAG
Long non-coding RNA from Chinchilla lanigera (long-tailed chinchilla), 449 nucleotides. RefSeq lists it as uncharacterized. The transcript is spliced from 2 exons. The record is from RefSeq and is a predicted model, not a curated record. NCBI's taxonomy places the organism in Eukaryota, Metazoa, Chordata, Mammalia, Rodentia, Chinchillidae.